Molecule: long non-coding RNA, 1871 nt
Organism: Sarcophilus harrisii (Tasmanian devil)
Lineage: Eukaryota; Metazoa; Chordata; Mammalia; Dasyuromorphia; Dasyuridae
Exons: 4
Source: RefSeq, a predicted model, not a curated record
UCUUGCCACAGACUAGGUGCUGCUGACUCAGGGUCUGUUCAAUUCAAAGGCAGCUUCCUAGCAGAGAUGCUGGAGGCUUCCUAGGUAGAAGCACCAGGAUGGAAAGAAGACCCUGAGCAGGUGCUCAGCAGGAGCUGCACAGACAUCCAUCACCAACUGGGACUUCAGUCAUAAAUCAGAGGCUAAACAGAAACAUGGGUAAUGGUUCACGACAGCCAGAGGCAAGUUCCCGGCUCCUUGGCUUCUUCCCUCCCCAGACACAGAUUCUACUCAGUCAGCAUCAGGGAAGGAGCUUACACUGAUGAUCUGACACUCAUACCUCCCCAUCUAUUUCCUGAGUUUGUUGGCUCUAUGUCACGUCACCUUAUGAUGCAGGUUCAUAGGCAUAUGGAGAGUUUCAACAAGGCAGAAAUAGAAAAGGGCUCCAGAAUAUGACACAGAAACUUCCUCUUCCCUUUCUUGCCACGUGUCCAUGGAUCUACAUCAGAAAGGUCAUCAGAGACCAUCUAGCCUCUCCCCCUAUUUAAUAAAUGAGAAAACUGAGCCUCAGACGGGACUUGUAUUUCAUCACUAGGGAAUAUCUAAGGCAGGAUGUAGACUUACAGACUACUAACCAGCCAUCUGCCCUCUCCUCCACUUUGCUCCUUCGAUCCAGGAAGCUGAGCCAUAGCCUAGUCACCAGUUCAAGAAACCGAGACCAAGCAGAAAGGGGAUCAGCAGAUUCUCUAAAGGGAAGACAGACAAUAGUCUGGAUCUUUCCUUUUCAUGGAAAUCAGUCAUCUUGAAACCGGCAACUUUUUUCCAACCAAUUAUGGACUUCAGUCAUCUGAAACAGCAGCAGUAGCUUAAAAGGCAACUGAACUGUGGCUGUGAGUCAGAGAUUCUAAUCACAAGUGGGUCUCAGUCCAAACUCGAGAGGCCUUUCUGGCCUUGGUGGAAUGCUGCAGAAAUGCCUUCCCCUUCUGGGUAUCCCCCUGAGAGAUGGUACUCUCACUCUCGGAUUUGCUCACUUCCCCCGGGUCAGUUCCAGGAGCCUCUGCUCACACUUAGAAUGCAGACCUUCCUGCAUCAGGAAGAUCCCCAGCUGCUGUGAGGUCAGCCAUUUGGUUUGGUUCCCAGAUCAGCUCGUGGUCCUCCUGGUUUCUGUGGCAGCUUAAACAGAAGGAUGGCUAAGAAAAGAAUCAUGAUGGGCAGCAAGUGGGCACGGCCAAGGUGUUGGAGCAGAUUAAUGAGAGACAAGAUGUCACCUUGUCAUCCACUCACAGGAGCACAGACUCAGGAUGACAAAAUCAGGACCCUUAGAGACUAGGACACCUAAUCUCCCCAUUUUAUAGGUGCACAAACUGAGGCUUAGAGAAAUUGAGAUCUCCCUAAAGUAAUGCAGAUGGUAAAUGGUUAAAUCAGAAUCUGAAGCCAGAUCUUUAAGCCCUAAACUUAGCAACCUUUCCCACAUUCUUCGGUGCCUCCUUCUGUCUUUAUUGGAACUCUUCCUCAGGUACAGCUGGACACAUCAGAGAGAGGGCUGGACAGCAGUCUGCUGAGUCUCCCUCCUGUCAGCUGUCUGGUUCUUGGCCAAUAAUUUCAAUCUCUUCUGUAAAAUGGGGGUAAUAACGCUGCCUCUCCCUCCUGUCAGUUGUCUGGUCCUUGGCCAGUAAUUUCAAUUUCAUCUAUAAAAUGGCAGUAAUAAUGCUGCCUCUCCCUCCUGUCAGUUGUCUAGUCCUUGGUUUCAAUCUCAUCUGUGAAAUGGGGAUAAUAAUGUACUUCUCACCCAUGACUAUUAAAAGGAUAAAAGGAGGAAGUAUCUAUAAAGUGCUUGAAUGCUUUAAGGUAAUAUUUAAACGUCAUUUUUUAUUAUUAGUUUAUUCCAGGCA